This 1444-nucleotide ribosomal RNA is filed under the name Vibrio parahaemolyticus. RNAcentral's name for it is "bacterial SSU rRNA". It matches the Rfam family "Bacterial small subunit ribosomal RNA". Lineage: Bacteria; Pseudomonadati; Pseudomonadota; Gammaproteobacteria; Vibrionales; Vibrionaceae. The record is from RNAcentral.
AACGAGUUAUCUGAACCUUCGGGGAACGAUAACGGCGUCGAGCGGCGGACGGGUGAGUAAUGCCUAGGAAAUUGCCCUGAUGUGGGGGAUAACCAUUGGAAACGAUGGCUAAUACCGCAUGAUGCCUACGGGCCAAAGAGGGGGACCUUCGGGCCUCUCGCGUCAGGAUAUGCCUAGGUGGGAUUAGCUAGUUGGUGAGGUAAGGGCUCACCAAGGCGACGAUCCCUAGCUGGUCUGAGAGGAUGAUCAGCCACACUGGAACUGAGACACGGUCCAGACUCCUACGGGAGGCAGCAGUGGGGAAUAUUGCACAAUGGGCGCAAGCCUGAUGCAGCCAUGCCGCGUGUGUGAAGAAGGCCUUCGGGUUGUAAAGCACUUUCAGUCGUGAGGAAGGUAGUGUAGUUAAUAGCUGCAUUAUUUGACGUUAGCGACAGAAGAAGCACCGGCUAACUCCGUGCCAGCAGCCGCGGUAAUACGGAGGGUGCGAGCGUUAAUCGGAAUUACUGGGCGUAAAGCGCAUGCAGGUGGUUUGUUAAGUCAGAUGUGAAAGCCCGGGGCUCAACCUCGGAAUUGCAUUUGAAACUGGCAGACUAGAGUACUGUAGAGGGGGGUAGAAUUUCAGGUGUAGCGGUGAAAUGCGUAGAGAUCUGAAGGAAUACCGGUGGCGAAGGCGGCCCCCUGGACAGAUACUGACACUCAGAUGCGAAAGCGUGGGGAGCAAACAGGAUUAGAUACCCUGGUAGUCCACGCCGUAAACGAUGUCUACUUGGAGGUUGUGGCCUUGAGCCGUGGCUUUCGGAGCUAACGCGUUAAGUAGACCGCCUGGGGAGUACGGUCGCAAGAUUAAAACUCAAAUGAAUUGACGGGGGCCCGCACAAGCGGUGGAGCAUGUGGUUUAAUUCGAUGCAACGCGAAGAACCUUACCUACUCUUGACAUCCAGAGAACUUUCCAGAGAUGGAUUGGUGCCUUCGGGAACUCUGAGACAGGUGCUGCAUGGCUGUCGUCAGCUCGUGUUGUGAAAUGUUGGGUUAAGUCCCGCAACGAGCGCAACCCUUAUCCUUGUUUGCCAGCGAGUAAUGUCGGGAACUCCAGGGAGACUGCCGGUGAUAAACCGGAGGAAGGUGGGGACGACGUCAAGUCAUCAUGGCCCUUACGAGUAGGGCUACACACGUGCUACAAUGGCGCAUACAGAGGGCAGCCAACUUGCGAAAGUGAGCGAAUCCCAAAAAGUGCGUCGUAGUCCGGAUUGGAGUCUGCAACUCGACUCCAUGAAGUCGGAAUCGCUAGUAAUCGUGGAUCAGAAUGCCACGGUGAAUACGUUCCCGGGCCUUGUACACACCGCCCGUCACACCAUGGGAGUGGGCUGCAAAAGAAGUAGGUAGUUUAACCUUCGGGGGGACGCUUACCACUUUGUGGUUCAUGACUGGGGUGAAGUCGUAACAA